RNAcentral lists this ribosomal RNA (468 nucleotides) under uncultured bacterium. RNAcentral's name for it is "partial 16S ribosomal RNA". It matches the Rfam family "Bacterial small subunit ribosomal RNA", at positions 28 to 507 of the family's 1533-position model. The record is from RNAcentral.
GACGAACGCUGGCGGCGUGCUUAACACAUGCAAGUCGAACGGAAAGGCCCUGCUUUUGUGGGGUGCUCGAGUGGCGAACGUGUGAGUAACACGUGAGUAACCUGCCCUUGACUUUGGGAUAACUUCAGGAAACUGGGGCUAAUACCGGAUAGGAGCUCCUGCUGCAUGGUGUGGGUUGGAUAGUUUCGGCGGUUGGGGAUUGUCUCGCGGCUUAUCAGCUUGUUGGUGGGGUAGUGGCUUACCAAGGCUUUGACGGGUAGCCGGACUGAGAGGGUGAACGGCCACAAUGGGACUGAGAUAGGGACCAGAGGGCUACGGGAGGCAGCAGUGGGGAAUAUAGCAGAAUGGGCGGAAGCCUGAUGCAGAAACGCCGCGUGCGGGAUGACGGCCUUCGGGUUGUAAACAGCUUUAGCCUGUGACGAAGCGUGAGUGACGGUAAUGGGUAAAGAAGCACCGGCUAACUACGUG